AAUUUUAUAUUUAAAUAAUAAUAUUAGAAUGCAAUUCUAAAGUUAUAAAUUUUAAAAUUUAUUAAAAUUUAAAUUU
This 76-nucleotide transfer RNA is filed under the name Empria multicolor. RNAcentral describes it as "tRNA-Cys". Lineage: Eukaryota; Metazoa; Arthropoda; Insecta; Hymenoptera; Tenthredinidae. The record is from RNAcentral.